AACGCACCUUGCGCUCUCUGGUAUUCCGGAGAGCAUGCCUGUUUGAGUGUCAUGAACUCUUCAACCCGCCGGUUCCUUGUUGGAUCGAGUUGGUGUUUGGAUUUUGAGCGCUUGCUAAUUUAACUAUAGCUCGCUCGUAGUACAUUAGCAUCUCAAUUUUGAUAUUCGGAUUGACUCGGCGUAAUAGACUAUUCGCUGAGGACACUAGUAAUAGUGUCCGAAUAUGGAAAAAGCUAGAAGCUUCUAAUCAAUCUAGUCAACCUAAGAUAGACCUCAGAUCAGGCAGGAUUACCCGCUGAACCUAA
This 305-nucleotide unclassified non-coding RNA is filed under the name uncultured fungus. RNAcentral's name for it is "partial contains 5.8S ribosomal RNA, internal transcribed spacer 2, and large subunit ribosomal RNA". The stretch from base 1 to 52 matches the Rfam family "5.8S ribosomal RNA", at positions 103 to 154 of the family's 154-position model. The record is from RNAcentral. Lineage: Eukaryota; Fungi.